GACGAACGCUGGCGGCGUGCUUAACACAUGCAAGUCGAACGGAAAGGCCCUGCUUUUGUGGGGUGCUCGAGUGGCGAACGGGUGAGUAACACGUGAGUAACCUGCCCUUGACUUUGGGAUAACUUCAGGAAACUGGGGCUAUUACCGGAUAGGAGCUCCUGCUGCUUGGUGGGGGUUGGAAAGUUUCGGCGGUUGGGGAUGGACUCGCGGCUUAUCAGCUUGUUGGUUGGGUAGUGGCUUACCAAGGCUUUGACGGGUAGCCGGGCUGAGAGGGUGACCGGCCACAUUGGGACUGAGAUACGGCACAGACUCCUACGGGAGGCAGCAGUGGGGAAUAGUGCACAAUGGGCGGAAGCCUGAUGCAGCAACGCCGCGUGCGGGAUGACGGCCUUCGGGUUGUAAACCGAUUUCGCCUGUGACGAAGCGUGAGUGACGGUAAUGGGUAAAGAAGCACCGGCUAACUACGUG
This 468-nucleotide ribosomal RNA is filed under the name uncultured bacterium. RNAcentral describes it as "partial 16S ribosomal RNA". It matches the Rfam family "Bacterial small subunit ribosomal RNA", at positions 28 to 507 of the family's 1533-position model. The record is from RNAcentral.